CACGGGUGAGUAACACGUAUCCAACCUGCCGUCUACUCUUGGCCAGCCUUCUGAAGGAAGAUUAAUCCAGGAUGGCAUCAUGAGUUCACAUGUCCGCAUGAUUAAAGGUAUUCCGGUAGACGAUGGGGAUGCGUUCCAUUAGAUAGUAGGCGGGGUAACGGCCCACCUAGUCUUCGAUGGAUAGGGGUUCUGAGAGGAAGGUCCCCCACAUUGGAACUGAGACACGGUCCAA
This 232-nucleotide ribosomal RNA is filed under the name uncultured bacterium. RNAcentral's name for it is "partial 16S ribosomal RNA". It matches the Rfam family "Bacterial small subunit ribosomal RNA", at positions 102 to 334 of the family's 1533-position model. The record is from RNAcentral.